RNAcentral lists this ribosomal RNA (458 nucleotides) under uncultured bacterium. RNAcentral's name for it is "partial 16S ribosomal RNA". It matches the Rfam family "Bacterial small subunit ribosomal RNA", at positions 340 to 795 of the family's 1533-position model. The record is from RNAcentral.
UACGGGUGGCAGCAGUGAGGAAUAUUGAUCAAUGGACGAGAGUCUGAACCAGCCAAGUAGCGUGAAGGAUGACUGCCCUAUGGGUUGUAAACUUCUUUUAUAUGGGAAUAAAAUGUUCCACGUGUGGGAUUUUGUAUGUACCAUAUGAAUAAGGAUCGGCUAACUCCGUGCCAGCAGCCGCGGUAAUACGGAGGAUCCGAGCGUUAUCCGGAUUUAUUGGGUUUAAAGGGAGCGUAGGUGGAUUGUUAAGUCAGUUGUGAAAGUUUGCGGCUCAACCGUAAAAUUGCAGUUGAAACUGGCAGUCUGGAGUACAGUAGAGGUGGGCGGAAUUCGUGGUGUAGCGGUGAAAUGGUUAGAUAUCACGAAGAACUCCGAUUGCGAAGGCAGCUCACUGGACUGCAACUGACACUGAGGCUCGAAAGUGUGGGUAUCAAACAGGAUUAGAUACCCCUGUAGUC